ACGUCAGCAGCGCUGAUCCGGGCCUCCCACGUCAGCAAAGGCGGGGCUGGGCCUGAGCCAGAGCCCUCUCGGCUGCGGCCUGUCCCUGGCACCCCGAGGCUCUGGCCCGCUCCUGCUGGCUCCUGGAGCUUCCAGAGUCUUCUUGAGGAAACCAUCCCGCACUCAGAACUGAGACGGGUUGUCAUCUUCCCAGGCGACCACGUUCCUUUCUGGGCCGCGCAGGAAAAGGGGACCAGAAUGCGGAUAAAGACGCAGAUAACCGAGACCCUAAGCUGAAACCACACCCCAGGAACGGGUCUCCCGUCUACGCUGGUCCCGGUUAGGGGUCUCCUUGCCAACGCCGGACAAAGGAGAAUGGUUUGCUUGUAAAACCACAGUUCAGCAACAGUCCAUGGGAGGGCUAAAGAAUUUACUGGAAGAAAGAAUUGAAAACUCCACACUGGAAAUGUGAGAAUGGAAGCUGGAAUUGGCUUCUUUAAAACGUCAGUGAGAGAGAAAGCCUGCGACGUAGGCACUCGGGCCAGCACAGUGUCCUGGCAGAGGUCGAAAGGGGGCUUUUCCCUCUUGUCUGAGAGCUCGCCGUCCCUCGACCCUGCAGAGAGACGCCCGCAGGGAACGGGCCAUAAACGGGAGAUAAAAGUGCCUGCCGGCGUAGGCUCUGCAUCAACCACCGACAAUAAGCAACAGCGGUCACAGCAAUUACUGUCGACUUGGCCAUGGCCCACUCAGAAGGCGGUGGGGACUUUGCCUUGUCCCCCACCGUGCCUCCAGCCCAGAACCGUCGUUGGCACAGAGCUGCUCAAUCUCUGUUUCGGACACAUCAGUGCACGUGUGAAUUCCUUGUGCCAGACACCACGAUUCACGCUGUCCGUGUGUCACGAUUCCCAGUCUCUUCCGCCCCGAGAAGCAGGUGUGAGCCCCGUUUCACGGACGAGGGAAGCAAAGGCUUGGAGAGGUUGAGGAACUCGCCCGAGGUUUGCAGCCGUUGGGAAGCGCGGCCGCGGUGCAAUUGACCGGGACACCAGCCUCCUCUCUCCAGGCGCUGCCGCCUCUAGCCAGGGUCUCUGGGCAGGUCCAUGGCUCCCCAAGUUCUCCUUUGAAUUGUGAAGGGGACCCCAGAGAUUUCAUGCAAAAUGGCGCGUGUAUCUGCACCUGCACGUGGUGCUGGGAUGAAAGUCCUUGGCCUUCAGGUUUGCAGAGAAACCCAGGAUCAAAAACCGUUUAGGAAUCACUGUUCUAGAACCCUGCUAGAGUACCUAGCAGGAGGGUGAGCAGCCGCCCCUGCGCCCCGGUCAGCCUUGGUUGUACACUGACAACCCCACGUCCUGGGGCCCCCCUGUUGGUGAGGGGCCUGCAGAGCCCGCGGGAGGAUGGAUCGAGUCCGGGCUCCUGGCGCUUCUCUGCCAGCAGGAGAGAACAGCUAAGGGGAGCAGCGAGGAGGGAGGCAGGGACAGCUACGGGCUCCUAGCUGGGGUGGGAAAGGCCUGGGAGGAAGUCCCGGGAGGGGGCUCAGCGGGAGCAUGGGGGGUCGAGGGCAGAGAGCUUUCUGAGGAGUGAAAGGGCGGCCAGAAGCCCACCCUCCCCAAACUCUGCAGCCAAUGUCUGUUUAGAGGAGCACUGGGCCGUGCAGGGAGGACAGUGGACAUUGUGUUCACAUUGCCUUGGCUUCGCGCACAUUUUGUGAGCGACCCUCCCCUCCCAAUGCACGGGGUGGUCUAGGGGUCCCCAGGAACCCCAAGAGCAGGCCCUGCAGACCAGCAGCUCUAGACGGGUUGGACUCUGAGGCCCACAGCGCGUCUCUGGCAGGAGCGUCCCCGGGAGCCUCCCAAAGCCAACUCUCGGAGAGGGGCGUGGGCUGUGCGUCCCCAGGGAGGUGUCCGGGCGCGCUCAUUCCCCAUGGCGGGUGAGGGGCCAGGCGCGGGGUCUGGAUCCCCCAGGCCUCUGCUGCAGCCCCAGGGAGGCCGGCGCCCGGCGACAGAGGGUCAUCAGCCUGCUACGCCACAGAAAGCAAGGGCAGGCUGGCCCGGCCCACUUCCCUCCCUGGCUCAGCGGUGGCAGGACCUCCCGGGAGAGCGCCAGCUUCCCGCAUCCGUGCGCUGCGGGCAGCCCUGCAGCUGGCGCAGCCGUGGACGCACUUGGGGGCUGCCAGGGGGUUGCUGCACAUGCCUCUGCGCCUGCCUUUUGUUUCCUAGGUUCCGGGUGCCCUUGUCCCCGAAGCCCUUAGGAAUGUGUGGCUCUGAGCUCCAGGUGGCUGAGUUCCAGCACCCCCAGGUGCCUUUUGCCCUAAGGACUGAGCAGCCCCAGAAACGACCGCAGGGAGGGAGUCCCAUGUGUGAGUCCUGCCAGGCACAAUGUCCCCAAAGCAAGCCUUCCUUCCCCAAGGCAGCAGCACUUGUCACCCAGGCCCACCGGGGCCCUGUCUUCUAUUUGCGCGGAGCAUGGCCAGGAGGAGCGUGUGUGCAAAGAGCAGAGUGUCACCUCACCUGGGCCAUCUGUGUCAGAGGGCAGGCCCUUUGGAACAUCCGCCUCGGCAUGCCCGGCCUGGCUGCCCGUGGGCGGGACCCAUGGGGUGUGUAAGAAGUAACCGCUGGCGUGGAGAAGGGCCCAGGCGUCUGACCCGCAGGCACAGGCUUUGCCUGCGGAAGGAAGCCGGAGGGCGCUUUGGUGGCGAAACGGCCAACUGUGCUAGGUUAGGUGGUUUUCAGACCUGCGCCCAGAACACAGCUGCAGGGCUCGCUUCCCUGCUCUCAAAGCUCUCCGGGUGCAAAAGACAGCCCCGCCCGCCCGUCCUAGGCCAGCCCUGGGCGUGACGGGUCACCAGGGCACCGGGCUGGGGUUCCGGGAAGAAGCCGGCUUUCAACGUGACUGCACACCACCGUGAAUCACCCUGAUCCGAAUGAGGUGCACGUGGAGAUCGCUGGUUGCCUCAGCGCGGCCCGCGGCUGCCUCAGAGAGCCGCUCGCCGCUGGCAGUUUCAGGGGUGUUGACGGUUUGUGGUUUGGAAACCUGGUGCAAGAGCCUUCUGGAGAUUGCUCGGAGGGCAGUUUCGGCGACGGGGACACCUAACCGUGCUGGCCCGCGGCUUACUUUCCCCUGCCUCCUCCAGGAAGGUAACGUGAGGCCGCGUGUUAAUCGCUUUGCUGAAACAUCUUGAAGUGUUAGGACGGGUAGAGAUGUCAGGGACCCCUCCGGUCCAAGCCUUUCGUCUUACAGAUGAAGAAACUGAGUCCAGGUGAGGUUUAGGGGCUGCCUGGUCUGUGGUGGAGCCCAAGACCGUGACUUGGGUACUCCCGCACGCAGGCACCCUUCGGUUAUUUGCUCAGCACGUUGUCAUCAGGUCUGCUAGAAGAUUCCGAAACAGUGGACCACAGAGCCCUGGCCCUUGGGGAGGAAAGGCUGGGCGGGUCCCAAAACUCAGGGGCAGCAGUGCCCUGACGGAUGGCUAGAAACAAAAUGCCAUCUGGCCACGGGACGAAAUACUAUCCAGCCAUGCAAAGGAGUGGGGGGACUGGCGCACGCCACAGUGUAGACGGACCUUGGAAAGAGUGUGGUAAGUGAGGAAGCCAGUGGCAAAGGUGUCACACGGUGUGUGAUUCCGGUUUACACGUGACGUGCAGAACAAGGCCGCCCUUAGAGACAGAAAGCACAUGCGCGGUUGCCAGGGGCUGGGGGCACAGGGGCAGAUGGCAGUGACCGCUGAUGGGUACACGGUUUCUUUUUGGCGCGAUGGAAAUGAAAUGCUCUGCAAUUAGGCCGUGGUGAUGGCUGCACAACCCUGUGAACGUUCUCAAAACCGCUGAAUUGUACCUCUUAAAAUGGUUAACAGGAGGCUGAUCUGAGGGAAUCUCUGCCCCCCUCAAACCCCUGCUUGGACGCCGGCGUCUGUCCCCUCCUGAAAGGCACACGACACGCAGCAGGCACCACUGGGCUUCGGAGAGCGUGGGCUUUGGAAGUAGAAGGACCUCCCCGGUUCACUGUCUCGCCACGGGAAAGAGCAUGCUCCAGGGAGGCUGCCUUCUCUGACCCGGCCCUCCCUAGGCCCGAGCGUCGAGGUGGGGGUUUCAAAGAGUAAACCGAGCACCGCCCAACUCAAAGCCCAGAGCAACGCGGGCUAGGCCGGCCCCUUUAUCCGUAGCGGGAGCAAGCUGCUUGUCUUCACCUCACCGGUUAUUUGAGCACACAGUAUGGAGCACAGAGACAAACACUCACCUUUUGUUUUCAGGGAUUAAAAAGCAUGUUUAAAAAUAUCUGAAGCCAAAAAGACACUCAGAAGCAACCGUGAGAAACGCAACCUAGAGAACAACUGCAGAAGAGAAAAUGAGAACGACCCACAUCUCUGUUCCGGGCUCUUCAUUGGACAUCUUAUCUAUUUUUAUUUUUUCUAAUACUGCGAUUUUUGACUAAAGCCAUUUUCUAAUGCUGCUGAGGACGUUUUCAGUAUGAGGCAUGAACUCAGGGCAGAUGCGUCAUUUCCAAGGACACGGUUUAACUGGGUGAAUUGUAUUUAGGAGAAGUGAUUUAAAAUGCUACGCGUUGCAUAACUUAGAUGGACUCUCUUUUAUUUUUUUAUAUUUUUAUUUUUUGUAGCUGGGACUACAGGCAUGUGCCACCAAG
Non-coding RNA from Microcebus murinus (gray mouse lemur), 4614 nucleotides. The record is from RefSeq and is a predicted model, not a curated record. NCBI's taxonomy places the organism in Eukaryota, Metazoa, Chordata, Mammalia, Primates, Cheirogaleidae.